UUUAACAACGUUAAAAGAUUAUGCUAACCGGCUGCGUUAGCAAAAAAGUGUUAAAAGUUAUUCGUCAACGUCACAACAUCCUUGUUGUGCCACACACCGCAACCAGCAGAAGAUAGGUAAACAAAAAAUAAAAUACUCAUAAAAAACAUGUGGCAAAAAAAGUGAACACAUUUUGUGUUCAUAAAGUCAUCAUGUUUUCAUAUUUGAAGACUGCAACCACAUUGCUGUUUGCUCAUGUUCUUAAAGUGGUAACUGCCCAAAAAAGAAACUCCGCAAAAAGUUUCUGGCCAUCAAAAGGUAAACAAACUCUCGCAAAUUCCCAGCAAACAAACUUCAACUUGAACACACCCAAAAUGUCUUCAUUUUCACCUGUUUUCAAAUGCUGUGCCUCCUUUUGCUUUUCACAUAACGCCUAACACAGUUGCAAAUGUGCAGAGACGACAACACGGGCGGCAAAAGAAAAACCUCAGACCCAAACAUAUUUGCAUAAACAGAACCCCACUUUGAUGGUUUUGCCGGACGGACCCAGAACGUCCAGGGUGUUUCAGCUAUUGAAUGCAGUUCGACGAAAACUAAAAAUGUUUUUGAAAUAUUUGGUUGCUUUUUCGACGGUGGUUGAGGAAUUAGGACGCUGCUUACCCUCAGGCAUGAAGUUAUAAUCUUAGCUAUGUCCUAUGUGAAGAUAAUAGUAUUAAGAUAUAAACUUGGAAGAAGCUUAGUAGAUGGUUCCUUACGUAUAUCCCAUAAGUAACAACCACGACCGAAAAGAGUGUUCUUGUUUCGCCUUAAAACAUCAAAAACGCCUGGAGUCCUCUCCACAUUUCUUGCUGUUGUGCGGCUGUGCUUGGCAUCAUCAGGUUAGUGUUUAACCUCUGCAGAGUGCUGCAGUCCACUCAAAAAGUCUUUGACUUGCCAUUCCACAACCCCUCUUGGCCAACUUGGACCGGGCAAAAAGCUGAGCCAACCAACCAGUAAACCGAGGCAGCCAGUCAGCCAGAGUUAACCAGUCGACGUAGUCAUCAUCAUCCUCGCCAGCUUCAUAAUCUGCAGCCUCAUAAUCGCCGUAGUCGCUGCUCGGCAUAGCUUUUAGCCACUCGGCUUGCUCUUUAACGCGUUAACGGGUUAAGUUGCCUUUUGUGACCAUGUUUUGUUUUUAGCCAUGCCUAAAACAACAAGGGUGCACCACAAAAAUACGUUCUUGGCACCGUAUUUUUUCCCACGACUGCAUGUAAAAAUGUUCUUAAAGUCCAAGGGUUAUGUUCUUAUAUAUUUGCCUAUUUAAAAUACCGAGAUCCCAGACUUGAUGUGCUGGAAAUAUUACAUACUACAAUAGUUUGUUUCAUCGUGCUGGUGAGUAUCAAAAAUCUCUGUGUCUUUACAAAAAUUUUUAUUUUCAGAUUGACAACGGUAUUUUUCUCAGUGUACACGGAUGUGGAAACAGAACACCACCGGGUUAUGUGUAAUUAGCCACGCAGACUAAGCCAUAAUCCGUGUAAAAUGCCUUGGGACAGAUUUUAAAGCCAAUUCUGAGGAAAAACGCUGAAACCAGGAUAUCCAGGAACUUAAUUUUUCUGUGGCUACUUCACUUCUUCGACCGCGAAUUCAUCUCACUUGCAGGCGGAAUGGGACAAAAAAGCGAAGCAGGUUACUGAGUGUCGCUAGCUGACAACCUCCCGACGAACAUAGGCAGGGUUUCCUGUCUAGGAUUUAGCCCGACUUCCCCCCACAGAUUUUCCGAGCUAGCCACUCCUGUCUGCGACUUUCGCACUGCCUGCUGCGUUGACCUUCCAAUUUAAUCCACGGUUAUGAUCUACGAAGUCCAGUUUAAGUCUAAAGAGGUUGUUGCUAGUAUAGAUUUUUUAAUCGCGUAGGGAUUAUAUAAUGCGUGCUUAUUGUAAUAUUUAUUGUAAAUAGAACAGUAAAGCAUAACAUUGUCAUUUUAUUGUGCUA
Drosophila yakuba is the source of this 1950-nucleotide long non-coding RNA. RefSeq lists it as uncharacterized. The record is from RefSeq and is a predicted model, not a curated record. NCBI's taxonomy places the organism in Eukaryota, Metazoa, Arthropoda, Insecta, Diptera, Drosophilidae. The transcript is spliced from 2 exons.